GAUGAACGCUAGCGGCAGGCCUAACACAUGCAAGUCGAGGGAGGAGCCUUCGGGCUUCGACCGGCGUACGGGUGCGUAACGCGUAUACAAUCUGCCUUUCACAUAGGGAUAGCCCGAAGAAAUUUGGAUUAAUACCUAAUGGUAUAUAGAUGUGGCAUCACCUUUAUAUUAAAGCUGAGGCGGUGAAAGAUGAGUAUGCGUUCUAUUAGCUAGUUGGAGAGGUAACGGCUCCCCAAGGCGACGAUAGAUAGGGGUUCUGAGAGGGAUAUCCCCCACACUGGUACUAAGAUGCGGACCAGACUCCUACGGGAGGCAGCAGUGAGGAAUAUUGGACAAUGGUCGGAAGACUGAUCCAGCCAUGCCGCGUGCAGGAAGACGGCCUUAUGGGUUGUAAACUGCUUUUGCAGGGGAAGAAUAAGGACUACGCGUAGUUUGAUGACGGUACUCUGCGAAUAAGCAUCGGCUAACUCCGUG
RNAcentral lists this ribosomal RNA (474 nucleotides) under uncultured bacterium. Its description in RNAcentral is "partial 16S ribosomal RNA". It matches the Rfam family "Bacterial small subunit ribosomal RNA", at positions 28 to 507 of the family's 1533-position model. The record is from RNAcentral.